Molecule: long non-coding RNA, 816 nt
Filed under: Vigna radiata
Lineage: Eukaryota; Viridiplantae; Streptophyta; Magnoliopsida; Fabales; Fabaceae
Description: long non-coding RNA (VRAD_LNC013361)
Source: RNAcentral
UUAGUUUUCCAGCUAUCACACAUGUAACACAUGCUACUUGGUUAGAAAACAUUUUCCACAUGUUAAAUAAGGCCUUCUAGAAGGCUAACACAUGUUGCACAUGGCUGCCUACGUGUCAGCAGAUCCACAUUUCAUGGAUCUAGUAUUUUCCUUGCCAAAGCCGAAGGGUAUGCUUAUAAAAAAACCCAAGGCAGCUUCUAUAUGUUACUUUUGUUAAUUGAGAGAUUAUUUGCUGAUGAAUCUUCCAGUUUUUCUCCACCGAGAGUCAUUCAACUUGUGUUUGUUUUCCUUCUCCUCUAGCUUCCUUCCUAGAGAGGGCUUUCUGAGCUAGAUUCCCUGACCACCACAAGCACUUCAUACAUNAACUUCAAUCAUUAUUCAUAUCCUCCGCUGCUGCUAUGUCAAGUCCAUUAACCACUCAGAUCUGCUGCUGUCACUCACACACUCGGUUUUCUCCUCAGAGCAUUAUCCACCGUCACUGUUCCAUUGUUUGAACUCAUGGAUCUGAACUAUUUUCCAAGGCUGGAGAUAUCAUUUGGUAUUCAGAGCAAGGUUCAAGAAGCAACCGUGAGCUAAGUCAUCUUUCCAUUUUGUUUCACUAUUACGGUUUUUUUUCUCUGUUUCAAUCAUGGUUCGGUACUGUUUCAUUAGAUUUCUUUUACAGUAGGUUCUGUUUGUGUGUCUUCUUGUGUGCUAGCCUAUCCUUGAGUGUAGAUUCUUCAUUUUAUUCGGUCAAUCCAUUGCUUAAGUCAUUUUAUUUUGAGAAAUCCAUUAUGUCAUGUACUGUCAUGUAUCAUUUUUUUCUUCUGUCUUGUU